Molecule: ribosomal RNA, 449 nt
Filed under: uncultured organism
Description: partial 16S ribosomal RNA
Rfam family: Bacterial small subunit ribosomal RNA
Source: RNAcentral
ACUCCUACGGGAGGCAGCAGUGGGGAAUAUUGGACAAUGGGCGCAAGCCUGAUCCAGCCAUGCCGCGUGAGUGAUGAAGGCCCUAGGGUUGUAAAGCUCUUUCACCGGUGAAGAUAAUGACGGUAACCGGAGAAGAAGCCCCGGCUAACUUCGUGCCAGCAGCCGCGGUAAUACGAAGGGGGCUAGCGUUGUUCGGAUUUACUGGGCGUAAAGCGCACGUAGGCGGACUAUUAAGUCAGGGGUGAAAUCCCGGGGCUCAACCCCGGAACUGCCUUUGAUACUGGUAGUCUUGAGUUCGAGAGAGGUGAGUGGAAUUCCGAGUGUAGAGGUGAAAUUCGUAGAUAUUCGGAGGAACACCAGUGGCGAAGGCGGCUCACUGGCUCGAUACUGACGCUGAGGUGCGAAAGCGUGGGGAGAAAACAGGAUUAGAAACCCUGGUAGUCCCAUGA